CCAGCACGUAUAGACUCAACAGGGCUUUUUGAUGUGUCCAAUAGGAGGAUCCUCUGACGCUCUGUUUGAAUUUCUGCCUUAAUUGUAACAUCCCUAACUUCAAAAUUAGAGCUAUUAUUGAUGCUUAUAUAGCUGCAAAAGGUCUCUCCCAAAUAUAUAGCCCCAAAGGCUUGAGGGAGCACGAGGAGACCAGUGAGCCCAAAUGAAUCGGAGGGGUGUUGGAGGAGGAAUCUGGUGCGAUAGGUGAGAUCAGAUGUGUCGGUGAGCUUGGUGACAUGAGCGUCAAUUAGAGGAGGAAGCCGAGAAGCGGCAAUUGGAUCGUCGAAGAUGUCCUCGCCGACGAUAAGAUCCGAGGGGUCCACACGAAGCGGGGCUUCAACGUGGAAUGAAGGUCUGCAUAGCCUCAUCACCCGAAAGGCCAGCGAGUGCGUCCCCUGCGUUGUGCUCAUGAUUAUUCCACUCUCUCUCUCUCAAUGGAACUGAAAUGACCGAUUAGUGAAUUUGAAGCGAAAUUUGGAGGAGAGGAGAGGAGAGGAGAGGU
This 541-nucleotide unclassified non-coding RNA is filed under the name Hevea brasiliensis (rubber tree). Lineage: Eukaryota; Viridiplantae; Streptophyta; Magnoliopsida; Malpighiales; Euphorbiaceae. The record is from RNAcentral.